RNAcentral lists this ribosomal RNA (1489 nucleotides) under Lactiplantibacillus plantarum subsp. plantarum. RNAcentral describes it as "bacterial SSU rRNA". It matches the Rfam family "Bacterial small subunit ribosomal RNA". The record is from RNAcentral. Lineage: Bacteria; Bacillati; Bacillota; Bacilli; Lactobacillales; Lactobacillaceae.
GACGAACGCUGGCGGCGUGCCUAAUACAUGCAAGUCGAACGAACUCUGGUAUUGAUUGGUGCUUGCAUCAUGAUUUACAUUUGAGUGAGUGGCGAACUGGUGAGUAACACGUGGGAAACCUGCCCAGAAGCGGGGGAUAACACCUGGAAACAGAUGCUAAUACCGCAUAACAACUUGGACCGCAUGGUCCGAGUUUGAAAGAUGGCUUCGGCUAUCACUUUUGGAUGGUCCCGCGGCGUAUUAGCUAGAUGGUGGGGUAACGGCUCACCAUGGCAAUGAUACGUAGCCGACCUGAGAGGGUAAUCGGCCACAUUGGGACUGAGACACGGCCCAAACUCCUACGGGAGGCAGCAGUAGGGAAUCUUCCACAAUGGACGAAAGUCUGAUGGAGCAACGCCGCGUGAGUGAAGAAGGGUUUCGGCUCGUAAAACUCUGUUGUUAAAGAAGAACAUAUCUGAGAGUAACUGUUCAGGUAUUGACGGUAUUUAACCAGAAAGCCACGGCUAACUACGUGCCAGCAGCCGCGGUAAUACGUAGGUGGCAAGCGUUGUCCGGAUUUAUUGGGCGUAAAGCGAGCGCAGGCGGUUUUUUAAGUCUGAUGUGAAAGCCUUCGGCUCAACCGAAGAAGUGCAUCGGAAACUGGGAAACUUGAGUGCAGAAGAGGACAGUGGAACUCCAUGUGUAGCGGUGAAAUGCGUAGAUAUAUGGAAGAACACCAGUGGCGAAGGCGGCUGUCUGGUCUGUAACUGACGCUGAGGCUCGAAAGUAUGGGUAUCAAACAGGAUUAGAUACCCUGGUAGUCCAUACCGUAAACGAUGAAUGCUAAGUGUUGGAGGGUUUCCGCCCUUCAGUGCUGCAGCUAACGCAUUAAGCAUUCCGCCUGGGGAGUACGGCCGCAAGGCUGAAACUCAAAGGAAUUGACGGGGGCCCGCACAAGCGGUGGAGCAUGUGGUUUAAUUCGAAGCUACGCGAAGAACCUUACCAGGUCUUGACAUACUAUGCAAAUCUAAGAGAUUAGACGUUCCCUUCGGGGACAUGGAUACAGGUGGUGCAUGGUUGUCGUCAGCUCGUGUCGUGAGAUGUUGGGUUAAGUCCCGCAACGAGCGCAACCCUUAUUAUCAGUUGCCAGCAUUAAGUUGGGCACUCUGGUGAGACUGCCGGUGACAAACCGGAGGAAGGUGGGGAUGACGUCAAAUCAUCAUGCCCCUUAUGACCUGGGCUACACACGUGCUACAAUGGAUGGUACAACGAGUUGCGAACUCGCGAGAGUAAGCUAAUCUCUUAAAGCCAUUCUCAGUUCGGAUUGUAGGCUGCAACUCGCCUACAUGAAGUCGGAAUCGCUAGUAAUCGCGGAUCAGCAUGCCGCGGUGAAUACGUUCCCGGGCCUUGUACACACCGCCCGUCACACCAUGAGAGUUUGUAACACCCAAAGUCGGUGGGGUAACCUUUUAGGAACCAGCCGCCUAAGGUGGGACAGAUGAUUAGGGUG